GGGAGCAAGAUUCAAAGCGUAUAAAAUAGGAACAUAAGAAUGAAAACCGAAUUGUUGGCACAGCUGUUCUUUUAAAUGAUCAAGAUGCCUCAAAGAAUCAUCUUCAUUACAGCAAGAUAUCUGGCAGCAAUAUAUUGAUGCUGAGGAAAUCUAUUCCGAAAUCUCGUUCCAGAGAGAACAAGGAAGCCUGAAAGUGGUUGCAGAUGUUGUCAUCAUCCCUGUUAAUCCAAGAAUUCUGUCUUCUUAAUCCAGUGAACUUUGGGACUACUACAACACUGGGGAAAGAGGGGCAAGCAUGGCUUAAAGCACCUGAACAAUGACUUGGAAAAG
Long non-coding RNA from Sceloporus undulatus (fence lizard), 330 nucleotides. RefSeq lists it as uncharacterized. The record is from RefSeq and is a predicted model, not a curated record. The transcript is spliced from 2 exons. NCBI's taxonomy places the organism in Eukaryota, Metazoa, Chordata, Lepidosauria, Squamata, Phrynosomatidae.